UCCAGACUCCUACGGGAGGCAGCAGUGAGGAAUAUUGGUCAAUGGCCGAGAGGCUGAACCAGCCAAGUCGCGUGAGGGAUGACGGCCCUACGGGUUGUAAACCUCUUUUGCCGGGGAGCAAAGAGCGGGACGCGUCCCGCCUCGAGAGUACCCGGAGAAAAAGCAUCGGCUAACUCCGUGCCAGCAGCCGCGGUAAUACGGAGGAUGCGAGCGUUAUCCGGAUUUAUUGGGUUUAAAGGGUGCGUAGGCGGUUUUUUAAGUUAGUGGUUAAACGUCGGGGCUUCACCUUGAUUUGCCAUUAAUACUGUAAGACUCGAGUUCAGACGAGGUAGGCGGAAUAAGUUAAGUAGCGGUGAAAUGCUUAGAUAUAACUUAGAACUCCGAUAGCGAAGGCAGCUUACCAGACUGCGACUGACGCUGAAGCACGAGAGCGUGGGUAGCGAACAGGAUUAGAUACCCCAGUAC
This 465-nucleotide ribosomal RNA is filed under the name uncultured bacterium. RNAcentral describes it as "bacterial SSU rRNA". It matches the Rfam family "Bacterial small subunit ribosomal RNA", at positions 330 to 793 of the family's 1533-position model. The record is from RNAcentral.